GCGGGCGUAGCUCAGAGGUAGAGCACCUGCUUCCCAAGCAGGGGGUCGCGGGUUCGAGUCCCGUCGCCCGCU
This 72-nucleotide transfer RNA is filed under the name Thermocrinis minervae. Its description in RNAcentral is "Aquificaceae bacterium CR11 tRNA". It matches the Rfam family "tRNA". Rfam says of the family: Transfer RNA (tRNA) molecules are approximately 80 nucleotides in length. Their secondary structure includes four short double-helical elements and three loops (D, anti-codon, and T loops). The record is from Rfam by way of RNAcentral. Lineage: Bacteria; Pseudomonadati; Aquificota; Aquificia; Aquificales; Aquificaceae.